RNAcentral lists this ribosomal RNA (253 nucleotides) under uncultured bacterium. RNAcentral's name for it is "partial 16S ribosomal RNA". It matches the Rfam family "Bacterial small subunit ribosomal RNA", at positions 524 to 776 of the family's 1533-position model. The record is from RNAcentral.
UACGGAGGGAGCUAGCGUUAUUCGGAAUUACUGGGCGUAAAGCGCACGUAGGCGGCUUUGUAAGUUAGAGGUGAAAGCCUGGAGCUCAACUCCAGAAUUGCCUUUAAGACUGCAUCGCUUGAAUCCAGGAGAGGUGAGUGGAAUUCCGAGUGUAGAGGUGAAAUUCGUAGAUAUUCGGAAGAACACCAGUGGCGAAGGCGGCCCACUGGACUGGUAUUGACGCUGAGGUGCGAAAGCGUGGGGAGCAAACAGG